This 2989-nucleotide ribosomal RNA is filed under the name Salmonella enterica subsp. enterica serovar Typhimurium. RNAcentral describes it as "23S ribosomal RNA". It matches the Rfam family "Bacterial large subunit ribosomal RNA". Lineage: Bacteria; Pseudomonadati; Pseudomonadota; Gammaproteobacteria; Enterobacterales; Enterobacteriaceae. The record is from RNAcentral.
GGUUAAGCGACUAAGCGUACACGGUGGAUGCCCCGGCAGUCAGAGGCGAUGAAGGGCGUGCUAAUCUGCGAUAAGCGCCGGUAAGGUGAUAUGAACCGUUAUAACCGGCGAUACCCGAAUGGGGAAACCCAGUGUGAUUCGUCACACUAUCAUUAACUGAAUCCAUAGGUUAAUGAGGCGAACCGGGGGAACUGAAACAUCUAAGUACCCCGAGGAAAAGAAAUCAACCGAGAUUCCCCCAGUAGCGGCGAGCGAACGGGGAGGAGCCCAGAGCCUGAAUCAGCAUGUGUGUUAGUGGAAGCGUCUGGAAAGGCGCGCGAUACAGGGUGACAGCCCCGUACACAAAAGCGCAUGUGCUGUGAGCUCGAUGAGUAGGGCGGGACACGUGGUAUCCUGUCUGAAUAUGGGGGGACCAUCCUCCAAGGCUAAAUACUCCUGACUGACCGAUAGUGAACCAGUACCGUGAGGGAAAGGCGAAAAGAACCCCGGCGAGGGGAGUGAAAAAGAACCUGAAACCGUGUACGUACAAGCAGUGGGAGCACCCUUCGGGGUGUGACUGCGUACCUUUUGUAUAAUGGGUCAGCGACUUAUAUUCUGUAGCAAGGUUAACCGUAUAGGGGAGCCGGAGGGAAACCGAGUCUUAACCGGGCGUUAAGUUGCAGGGUAUAGACCCGAAACCCGGUGAUCUAGCCAUGGGCAGGUUGAAGGUUGGGUAACACUAACUGGAGGACCGAACCGACUAAUGUUGAAAAAUUAGCGGAUGACCUGUGGCUGGGGGUGAAAGGCCAAUCAAACCGGGAGAUAGCUGGUUCUCCCCGAAAGCUAUUUAGGUAGCGCCUCGUGAAUUCAUCUCCGGGGGUAGAGCACUGUUUCGGCUAGGGGGCCAUCCCGGCUUACCAACCCGAUGCAAACUGCGAAUACCGGAGAAUGUUAUCACGGGAGACACACGGCGGGUGCUAACGUCCGUCGUGAAGAGGGAAACAACCCAGACCGCCAGCUAAGGUCCCAAAGUCAUGGUUAAGUGGGAAACGAUGUGGGAAGGCCCAGACAGCCGGGAUGUUGGCUUAGAAGCAGCCAUCAUUUAAAGAAAGCGUAAUAGCUCACUGGUCGAGUCGGCCUGCGCGGAAGAUGUAACGGGGCUAAACCAUGCACCGAAGCUGCGGCAGCGAACGUAUCACCCAAGACAACUUUACGGAGUUGACGAUUGACGGAGCGAAGCGACGUCAAAGCGUUCAUUAAAGUCGAGUUGGCUUAGGGAUACGUUCGUUGGGUAGGGGAGCGUUCUGUAAGCCUGUGAAGGUGUGUCGUGAGGCAUGCUGGAGGUAUCAGAAGUGCGAAUGCUGACAUAAGUAACGAUAAAGCGGGUGAAAAGCCCGCUCGCCGGAAGACCAAGGGUUCCUGUCCAACGUUAAUCGGGGCAGGGUGAGUCGACCCCUAAGGCGAGGCCGAAAGGCGUAGUCGAUGGGAAACGGGUUAAUAUUCCCGUACUUGGUGUUACUGCGAAGGGGGGACGGAGAAGGCUAUGUUGGCCGGGCGACGGUUGUCCCGGUUUAAGCGUGUAGGUGUGUGUUCGGGUAAAUCCGGUUCACUUUAACACUGAGGCGUGACGACGAGGCACUACGGUGCUGAAGCAACAAAUGCCCUGCUUCCGGGAAAAGCCUCUAAGCAUCAGGUAACAUCAAAUCGUACCCCAAACCGACACAGGUGGUCAGGUAGAGAAUACCAAGGCGCUUGAGAGAACUCGGGUGAAGGAACUAGGCAAAAUGGUGCCGUAACUUCGGGAGAAGGCACGCUGACACGUAGGUGAAGUGAUUUACUCAUGGAGCUGAAGUCAGUCGAAGAUACCAGCUGGCUGCAACUGUUUAUUAAAAACACAGCACUGUGCAAACACGAAAGUGGACGUAUACGGUGUGACGCCUGCCCGGUGCCGGAAGGUUAAUUGAUGGGGUCAGCGCAAGCGAAGCUCCUGAUCGAAGCCCCGGUAAACGGCGGCCGUAACUAUAACGGUCCUAAGGUAGCGAAAUUCCUUGUCGGGUAAGUUCCGACCUGCACGAAUGGCGUAAUGAUGGCCGGGCUGUCUCCACCCGAGACUCAGUGAAAUUGAACUCGCUGUGAAGAUGCAGUGUACCCGCGGCAAGACGGAAAGACCCCGUGAACCUUUACUAUAGCUUGACACUGAACAUUGAGCCUUGAUGUGUAGGAUAGGUGGGAGGCUUUGAAGUGUGGACGCCAGUCUGCAUGGAGCCGACCUUGAAAUACCACCCUUUAAUGUUUGAUGUUCUAACGUGGACCCGUAAUCCGGGUUGCGGACAGUGUCUGGUGGGUAGUUUGACUGGGGCGGUCUCCUCCUAAAGAGUAACGGAGGAGCACGAAGGUUGGCUAAUCCUGGUCGGACAUCAGGAGGUUAGUGCAAUGGCAUAAGCCAGCUUGACUGCGAGCGUGACGGCGCGAGCAGGUGCGAAAGCAGGUCAUAGUGAUCCGGUGGUUCUGAAUGGAAGGGCCAUCGCUCAACGGAUAAAAGGUACUCCGGGGAUAACAGGCUGAUACCGCCCAAGAGUUCAUAUCGACGGCGGUGUUUGGCACCUCGAUGUCGGCUCAUCACAUCCUGGGGCUGAAGUAGGUCCCAAGGGUAUGGCUGUUCGCCAUUUAAAGUGGUACGCGAGCUGGGUUUAGAACGUCGUGAGACAGUUCGGUCCCUAUCUGCCGUGGGCGCUGGAGAACUGAGGGGGGCUGCUCCUAGUACGAGAGGACCGGAGUGGACGCAUCACUGGUGUUCGGGUUGUCAUGCCAAUGGCACUGCCCGGUAGCUAAAUGCGGAAGAGAUAAGUGCUGAAAGCAUCUAAGCACGAAACUUGCCCCGAGAUGAGUUCUCCCUGAGACUUUAGGUCUCCUGAAGGAACGUUGAAGACGACGACGUUGAUAGGCCGGGUGUGUAAGCGCAGCGAUGCGUUGAGCUAACCGGUACUAAUGAACCGUGAGGCUUAACCUU